This is a long non-coding RNA of Equus caballus (horse), 1490 nucleotides long. Lineage: Eukaryota; Metazoa; Chordata; Mammalia; Perissodactyla; Equidae. The record is from Ensembl.
CGGGGGUGGUGGGUGGCGGGAGCGCCGUCUGUGCCUCGCUGCCUGGAGUUUAUGCCCUGCCAUUAAUCCUUAAGGUCUGAUUCCAGCAAGCCCUCCAGACAUCACCAAAGCUGAGAAAAUCCUCUCGCCACCGUUUCUCUUCAAAAAGUCUAAGAAAGCUGAAAGCCCAACAGAGAAUUCCGGUUCUAACUCCACCGCUGUAUUUACUUCACGUCCCUUCUAACCUCAACCCAGAGGCACACGUGAGUUUGACUAGCAUGUGACGAGCCUUACAGGUCACAAAGCACCCUCAGACACAAGAGCUACUGCAGUCCUCUGGACCAGGAGCGGAGUUCGGUCAUUGUCCUACUCCAGGGACAUGGGAAGUGAGGCUAAAGACGUUAAAUGAUGGCUGAGAUGCAAGUGUCCUUGAAGAUGGAUCUUCUAAGGUCCCAGCCUGUACCAUUCUUUCCACCGAGACACCUGUGCACCUGAUUUUUAACAGUCCACAAAGUUGCACAUCAUACAUUCUUUUCCUACUCAAUGUUAUUUCAGAAAUACGGUUCCCUUUUUUUCACUGUCAUUCUGGUUAUCCUUUGAAUGGCUGCAUAAUAUAACAUUUUACCAUAAUUUACUCAUCAGCCUCAGGUCAUUGCUCAUUUAGGACAUUCUGGUCUCGCUGUAUGAGAAGCAAUGCUACUGUCAUCUUUUGGGGCCAGACCACUUUUAUUCCUCUGAAUUAUUUUUGUACAGCGAAUUCACAAGAAUGGGAUUAAGGACUCAAUGAGUAUGAACAUCUUGAUGACUCUUGAUUCACCUUGGUAUUAUUGACCUCUAAAAGAACCAGGACUAUUUACUCAUUAUCUAUCCAUGUAUGCAUUCAUUGCUUUGUUUAGCCAGUGAGCCACCCAUCCGUCCAUCCAUGCACCCAUCUACCCAUCCAUCCACCUAUCCACCCACCCAUCCACCCACCCAUCCACCCAUCCACACAUCCAUCCACGCAUUCAUCCCAUCCAUCCAUCCAUCCAUCCAUCCAUCCAUCUAUCCAUCCAUUCAAUGUAUACUUCAUUUCCUCUGAGCCUUAAAUACAUUGCAGAAGUCCCAGAGAGACUGUGUGUUCUGGUGGAUUGGUGGAUGUGGGUAUAGUGGAGGCAGUUUCCGCCCCACCCUCCAUUCUAUCCCCAAGUUUCUACCCUUUUCUUAGACCAGCCUCUGCUGCUCCUCUGGCUCCCCCUGAGCAACACGUUCCCAGGCUCUGUCCCCCUCGCACCGACCACCCCCCCCAACUGCCCUCAGCUGACUCCCUGCUUGAUGCUGGAAGUCCUGGCUCCCUCGGCUUCCCUGUGCUUAUUUUGGAAGGCCUGGCUGUUUAACUGCAGCCGCUGGAGUCAUUUGGUUCCAGCUGUUUCCCCAGGGCCUGGCUGGUCGAGGGUCUGUGCCGGAGACAGUCAGCCUGAGUCAGGGGAGGUCAGGUCCCUGGGGGAGAGAGAGGCCAGCAGUAGCUCUGGGAC